UACGUAGGGCGCAAGCGUUGUCCGGAAUUAUUGGGCGUAAAGAGCUCGUAGGCGGUUUGUCGCGUCUGUCGUGAAAGCUUGGGGCUUAACCCCAAGUCUGCGGUGGAUACGGGCAGACUAGAGGCAGGUAGGGGAGAACGGAAUUCCCGGUGUAGCGGUGAAAUGCGCAGAUAUCGGAAGGAACACCAGUGGCGAAAGCGGCUUCCUGGUCCAGCAUCGACGUUCAGGCACGAAAGCGUGGGGAGCAAACAGG
Molecule: ribosomal RNA, 253 nt
Filed under: uncultured bacterium
Lineage: Bacteria
Description: partial 16S ribosomal RNA
Rfam family: Bacterial small subunit ribosomal RNA
Source: RNAcentral